CGGUCGCUCUUUUAAAGACAAGAAUCUGCCCAGCAAUCUUUGGUGUCAUGGCAAAAAUCGGGUUUUUGGACGAAGAACUCGUUAAGAAGUCAUUGCAGAAAUCUUUGUAUAAUGCAAACGACAAGAAUACUCAUUCUAAGUCGAAACAAAAAUAAAAAUGACAUUAAGUUAUUUUCAGCGUAUAACUUUCCAAAAUGUGAUAUUUAUGUUUAUUUCUUGCUUAUUAUAUUUAGUGUUUGUUUAUUUUA
Long non-coding RNA from Hydra vulgaris (swiftwater hydra), 248 nucleotides. RefSeq lists it as uncharacterized. The record is from RefSeq and is a predicted model, not a curated record. NCBI's taxonomy places the organism in Eukaryota, Metazoa, Cnidaria, Hydrozoa, Anthoathecata, Hydridae.